GAAACAUCUAAGUACCCCGAGGAAAAGAAAUCAACCGAGAUUCCCCCAGUAGCGGCGAGCGAACGGGGAGGAGCCCAGAGCCUGAAUCAGCAUGUGUGUUAGUGGAAGCGUCUGGAAAGGCGCGCGAUACAGGGUGACAGCCCCGUACACAAAAGUGCAUGUGCUGUGAGCUCGAUGAGUAGGGCGGGACACGUGGUAUCCUGUCUGAAUAUGGGGGGACCAUCCUCCAAGGCUAAAUACUCCUGACUGACCGAUAGUGAACCAGUACCGUGAGGGAAAGGCGAAAAGAACCCCGGCGAGGGGAGUGAAAAAGAACCUGAAACCGUGUACGUACAAGCAGUGGGAGCACCCUUUGGGGUGUGACUGCGUACCUUUUGUAUAAUGGGUCAGCGACUUAUAUUCUGUAGCAAGGUUAACCGAAUAGGGGAGCCGGAGGGAAACCGAGUCUUAAUUGGGCGUUAAGUUGCAGGGUAUAGACCCGAAACCCGGUGAUCUAGCCAUGGGCAGGUUGAAGGUUGGGUAACACUAACUGGAGGACCGAACCGACUAAUGUUGAAAAAUUAGCGGAUGACCUGUGGCUGGGGGUGAAAGGCCAAUCAAACCGGGAGAUAGCUGGUUCUCCCCGAAAGCUAUUUAGGUAGCGCCUCGUGAA
Molecule: ribosomal RNA, 652 nt
Filed under: Salmonella enterica subsp. enterica serovar Legon
Lineage: Bacteria; Pseudomonadati; Pseudomonadota; Gammaproteobacteria; Enterobacterales; Enterobacteriaceae
Description: bacterial LSU rRNA
Rfam family: Bacterial large subunit ribosomal RNA
Source: RNAcentral